Molecule: long non-coding RNA, 393 nt
Organism: Prunus avium (sweet cherry)
Lineage: Eukaryota; Viridiplantae; Streptophyta; Magnoliopsida; Rosales; Rosaceae
Source: RefSeq, a predicted model, not a curated record
AAGAGAGCCAAGACAAAGAAGCUUUCAUCCAUUUCUAUGCUCUACUAACAACCAUAAUAAAUUGGGCAGUGAGAAAACUGUAUCAGCUUUAAGCAAAGGCCAUCUUUUUUUCCUUUGCUGCCUAUAUAUAUAUAUAUAUAUAUACCAUUUCGUGGUUACUUUGAAAUGUUCUUCUACAGCUUCUUAUCAUAGAAAAACAAUGGCUGGUGCACCACCUACACAAAGGAUGUCAUGCUGUGAUCAGGUCCAGAAGCGCAAGGAGGAGAAAGGCUGCUUCUAUUCUUGUUUGUUUGCAUUUUUCUGCUGCUGCUGCUGCUAUAAGACUUGUGAGCCUUGCUUAAACGGCGUCUGCUGUUGCUGCCCUUAGAUCUCUAUACUUCAAAAUAUGUGCUA